This 9606-nucleotide long non-coding RNA is filed under the name Solanum tuberosum (potato). Its description in RNAcentral is "long non-coding RNA (STUB_LNC008521)". Lineage: Eukaryota; Viridiplantae; Streptophyta; Magnoliopsida; Solanales; Solanaceae. The record is from RNAcentral.
AGAGAGAGAGAGAGAGCAUACCAAAAAGAUACAUCUUCUUUCCAUUGCUUUAGGUGAGACCAAGGUUGUACCCGUAAGGCCAUGCCAUUAUGUUAGAUCUCAAAAGAACAUAGUAAAAAAAUUAGAGACUGGAAGGUAAUUUCUGAAUUUUGAAGGAAUCAAGUAAAUGAAUAAUUUUGUUUUCCAAAUAUGGAUAAGGGGCACUCGUCCCCCAUCCACCCCCAAAAGCUCUUUUUGCCCUCCUAUUUUUCUGAAUAAGUUGUAGCAUUUUCCAUGUACGUGUACUAAUCAUAGUUGUUGAUGGAUGUAGUCAUAUUUACUUUUUAGUGACUUUCUGUCAUCUAUGUCCAACACAUAUAACACAUCUGCUACUUACCGAGGACAAACCUAAGACAGGAGGGGAUGGAGGUCACGAAUAAGGGUAGAAAGUUAGUAGGUAGUUGCGAGGUGCUCCUAUUACUAGCCUAUUCAUGUCCUUGGCUGGGUGGAUCUCCGUGUCAGUCAUAGUAUUAACAUAUUCAUGCAGGCUUUGGUUUUGGGUUUUUGAUUAUCACCUGUGGUUUACUGUGAACUACACCUUGUUCUUAAUGUUAUGGUUUCUUGCAUGCAUGCUCUGCACUACUUUGCUAUUAGCUGUCAUGUUUUUCUUUAAAUUACUGCCUUGAUUUGCUUGAGCCGAGGAUCUCUCGGAAACAGCCUCUUGACCUCGGAGAGGUAGUGGUAAGGCAUGUGUACACUCUACAUUCCCUAGGCGGAUUUCACAUGGGUUGUUGUUGUUUUUACUAUGUUUUUGGCUAAUAAUAAUUGUUUUGCGUGCUUCUUAUCUUGCAAUUUAUUUAACGUCAAGCUUUUUCCUCAUCGUUUUUUGAAAAUUUUCAUUGUCAUGCUUCUAUUACCAAACAGGAUUUCUGCAAUCUGGAGCUUGUUGUAAUGGAUAUGGGAAGAGGUAUUUCUUAACUACUAUUUUGUCGUUUUUGCUGCUUCCUUAUUUUCAUAGCUCAUGCAAUUUAGAGUUCCAAUAUAUCCAGAAAUCUUCUCUUUGUUGGUCUCACUCGAAACAGGCACUUUUUUGAAUUUGAUUAAUCAGAAAAGCAUUUGUGUUAUGACUGAAAUGAUUGUGAAAACAUUAUCACGGUAGUGGCAAGAAGCAGUAACUGGAAAGUCUAAUUGCAUUCUUGAAUCUGCUUACCAGGAAGGAUCAGAAUCUGGUUAAUUGCAACCAGCUUAUGUUUGGAUAAAAGUUAAAUUAAGACGUUUAGCGAUGCAUGCUAAAAAAGGCCUCGUAUGGAUUCUUUUGUUGCUGGAACCUGCAUAUUAACGACACCAUCUACCAACUAUCUUCCAAAAAGUACAUAGCAAAUUGAAUUUCUAGUGCUUCCACUUCAUUCAUAACUGAUUGUAAGUGAGUAACAUGAUACAUUUCCCAAGUGAAUAGCUUGAUGUUCUUAUGGAUUUGUUGAUCUUUUAUGGGAUAUUCAUGUCCUCAUUUAUUUGAUUAGUUGUGUAAGUUUCGUCAUAAAUAAAUUACCCAUGCCAUGGAAGUGAAUUUAGGGUGAAUCAAGAUGCACCCGUCCUUUUCCCAUCAUCGCUAACUCAUUUACAUUCCCUCUAUUCAUCCACUACAACAAUUAAAUCUUUGGAAUUCAAACCAAUGAUGAUCAAAAUCUCUUAACCACCUCGAGGCGAGCCAUAGCCCUAACCUCAAUCAAAGGGGUUAUUUCCACCAUGGAUAAUCUACCCAUACCAUAUUAUCAAAAAUUCAUCAAGCCAGGUGAUAUUUGUGUUAAUAUCAUAAUAUAACACAAAUAAUCCAUAUAAUACUCUCUUUGGUGGUUGGGUUAGGAUUUGGGGUCAAAACAUCUUCAAUGUCUUGUGCCCUAGCUUGGGUGUAGGAAGAAUGGGGCGAAAAUCCCAUCUUUCAGAUUUUCAUAUUGCUAGUACAUCAGAUAAGUCGCGUCAUGGUGUAGCCAUCACGUGAAAGGAUUUCUCUUCACGCUAUGGUGCACAUGUCGUGUGCGUGAUUGCUGAAUCAACCCGGCACUACAAUGGAGGCUUACUGUGCUUCCCUUCAUUUUUUAACUUCAAUGCUCCUCCCUUUAUGCUACCAUAUCAAGCCCACUCAUUUCUGAUUCUUCCCAACAAACAAAUCAUUGUUCCACAAUCGACACUAUGUUUAAGCAACAUAUCCAACCCCAAACAUAUAAUAGCAUUAAAUAGCACAUUUAGAAGCAUGAAAUGGGUUUAAAAGUGUAUGGGUUUGAUUGAAUAAUGAAGGAUCUUGUACAUUAGUGAACUUGUCUCUUAACCUUAUUUCCUCUUUUAUGCACCCACGAGGGCGGGUAGGUGUAGAAGAUUGCGUGUCAUUUGUAGAAAACCAUAUCUUUUUGUAAGAUUUUCUACUUAUUGGUAUAACGUUUUUUUAAAAAAACUUAUUGUUAAUAGUAUCUUAUACCUGAUCAAAAAACAAGCAUAUAGGAGCAUGCAGGGCUUUACAUUUGCGUGAUAUUUUCUUGCACUGCUUGUGAAAGAAUGGAAUAUUUGCAGUAGAAACCUGUUUUUUAACCAGCUCUGGUACAUUCAUCCCUCUGAGGUGGCCCUUUCUGUUGACAUAGUUUUCUGAUUAGAUUUAUUCAUCAUAAGCUUAAGCUCAUUUAUCCAAUCGUAAAUAUAGAUAUUCUCAUCAACUAUAACUUUAGUUGAACGGGAAAUUGGAAGAAUGUGUGUUUGAAGAAAUAAAUGUUGAGAGCCUGUCAGAAUUUCUAUUUAUCUUUUUGUAUUUGUGUCUAUAUCUUAACAGGCGUCUGAGUUGUCCAUUUGAUACAGAUUAGACUAAUGUGUGGUGCUGUAUUUUUAAUUUGAACUGUUCUUUGCAGGUUAUACUGUUGGUUAUUCAUUAGCUCCGCUGAACCAUAUAUUUAGACCCCAAGAGAAUCCAGCGUCUUACAACAGUUCACUUGAAUUCAAUUGGCUAGAGUUGUCCUCUUCGGGGUCUACGGUGAUUUUCUCUUCUGUUCCUUCUUCUUUUUAUAUUGUUCCUGAAAACAAAAUAGGAAUUGCUUUACGGUGUCCCGUUUUGCUACUUUUUUAUGGUGUCUUGCUUAUCUCACCAUGAAAUGCAGAUGAUAACUAGUGAAGGAAAAGAAAUGAAAUCAUCAGGAAGAAUAAAAUUAGCUGCUUACUUGUCUCCUCAACUUGAAGUUGGAAAGAGUGAGAAGUCCUAUAACACUAAGGCAAGAUCUGGGUUUAUCCAGAUUAGUCCUACCAGAGAAGGACCUUGGACUACUGUGAGGCUGAAUUAUGCUGCACCUGCUGCUUGUUGGCGACUAGGAAAUACUGUUGUUGCCAGUGAAGUGAGCGUAGCUGAUGGAAAUCGAUAUGUCAAGAUUAGAUCUCUGGUUUUAGUUCGUAACUACACAGAAUUUACACUGGAUUUACAGCUCACGCUCAAUGCUUCAAAUGAGAAAAAAAGACAUGAUAAUGAUGAGACACAAGAGGUUUAUGUUGAUGAAGUUGUGACAGAUGAGUUUUUUGAGACCCAGAAAUAUAAUCCUGAUAUUGGGUGGUUUGACGCUAAUGAGGUAUGUAUCCACAUUUUAUUGUUUUUUUACCUGUACUUAAGUAGCAAUUGGCUUCUCUAUUUCUGGUCUUAAGCCAUCAAUUUCUGUCAUUUGGGUAGGGGACAAAUGAAGUUGAGCUUCCAUCAGGCUGGGAAUGGGUUGAUGAAUGGCAUGUAGAUAAGAAAUCUGUGAACACUGCUGAUGGAUGGGUUUAUGCUCCAGAUUUCAAUAGUUUGAAAUGGCCAGAGUCGUCCAAUCCACUAAAAUCUGUUAACUAUGCAAAACAGAGACGGUGGCUUAGGAACAGGAAAGGCAAGUCAAGAGAUCUCAAGGCUCAGAUUUAUGUUGGGCCUAUAAGACCUGGGGAAGUUGUUCCGUUGCCUUUAUCUGUCCUGACCCAUUCUGGACUAUACGUACUGCGAGUGCGGCCUUCUUACUUGGGAAAAACUGAAGAAUAUUCAUGGAGUUCUGUAAUGGAUGUGUCUGGAAACACUCGGGAUCUUGAGAUGCCAACAGAAAACGCUGGAAUAUCUGUAUCAAAUCUCAGUGAGUCUGAGGAACUCCUAUACUGCCCUGCAGUUAGUGGAACCUCAUCCAACAGUAACCGGGGCAUGUGGUUUUGCUUGAGUAUACAAGCAACUGAGAUCACAAAGGACAUGCACUCUGAUCCAAUUCAAGAUUGGACCCUUGUGAUCAGGCCACCCCUUGCGAUUACCAAUUAUCUUCCUCUUACUGCUGAAUAUUCUGUUCUUGAGAUGCAAGCCAGUGGUCAUUUUCUCACUUGCGUUAGAGGGAUAUUCUCUCCUGGUGAAUCUGUCAAGGUUUAUAGUGCCAACAUAAGGAAUCCUUUGUACUUCUCGUUGCUUCCACAAAGAGGAUGGUUGCCGUUACAUGUUAGUUGUUGUGAUAACUUUGUGUUCUCUUCACCCAGUUGAUUCUUGAUGCCUUUUCUAAUGCACUGUAAUGAUGCUAACUUCUUAACGUUCUUUACAGGAGGCUAUACUCAUAUCCCAUCCUAAGAUGGCACCUUCAAAGACAAUAAAUCUAAGAAGUUCAAUUUCUGGAAGGUCUCAAAGAAAAUAAGAUAGCUGAUUAAGUUCUUUCUUCAUUUUGUGUAAAAUGUUAUUUUAGUUUUCAUUCUUAAUUCUUUAAGCUACUGGCGCUUGCAGGAUUGUUCAAGUAAUUGCUGAACAUACGCAUACCCAUGAAAGGCCGCUGCAAGCAAAGAUUACCAAGGUCUAUGCUCCUUUUUGGCUUUCAGUUGCACGAUGUCCGCCAAUUACUUUCAGGCUUAUAGACUUGAGUGGUCGGAAAACAAAGAAGAAGAUUGCUUUGCCUUUGCUAUCUAAAAGGAAUAAUGAUCUUGUCCUAGAGGAGAUCUCUGAGGAGGAAAUAUAUGAAGGAAAUACAAUUGCAUCUGUUAUAAACUUCAAGUUGCUAGGCCUUUCAGCAUCACUGUCGGGUGAGAAGAGUUUUGGUCCUGUUAAGGAUCUUUCUCCGUUGGGUGACAUGGUAAAGAAUCUUUAUCCUGUGUAGUAUAUGUUUUAUCCGUGUUUAGAAACCUAUCCAUAAUCCGUCCUCAAUAUUAGGAUGGCUCGUUGGAUUUCUGCGCCUACAACACUGAUGGAAAUUGCAUGCGGCUUUUUGUAUCAUCAAAACCUUGCCCUUAUCAAACUGUUCCAACGAAGGUUCUGUCUCAACAGCAGUAUCAGCUUCGUUCUCUUAACUCCUAUAGAAUCCAAUUCAAACAUCUUUACUGAGUACUUACCAGCUCUUUUGGCAGGUUAUUACUGUUCGGCCAUUUGUUACAUUUACCAAUAGACUUGGUCAAGAUAUAUUUUUGAAAUUGAGCAGCGAAGAUGAGCCAAAGGUUUUACGUGCAUCUGAUGUCAGAGCCUCAUUUGUAUAUCGCGACACAGGUGGACCUGAUGAACUCCAGGUGAGUGGAUUCUCUGUACUGUGUUAUCUGAACUUAAAAUUAAUUAAAAAAUGCCUAUGGGAAAUACAUCCCUAAUAUUGGUGUCUUACACAGUCUACACUUCUUUCUUUUUCGCCCUCUUCUGAAACCGUGAGGCAUGAAUGAUAUGGUAACGAACUGUCUUCAUUUGGCUUUGAACUUCUAUAUUUCUAAGAGGAUAUAUCUCUCAGCCUUAUGAUUUUCAUUAUAUAUUUCUCAUUUGGAAUUUAGUAUAUUUAUGGUGCUAUAAAGUUUUUUUUUCUGCCAUUUCUGAUGCAUUAAUCAAAGUAAUUUUGUUCCACUCUAGACGCUGCCAUAAACGUGUUGACUAUUUGUUUAAACAAGGUACUAUUAGGGUUACUGGUGUGACCAUAGAUUAUGGACCAUGGCUGUGCUAGUUUGAAAAAGUGGAUAUGUAGUAAAUUUCCUGGUGAAGUUUCUUACGUGUUCAUUUUGGAAGGAAGGUGUCAAUAAUACCACAUAAUCCCUCAUUUUUUCCGCCUUCUUGAUUGUUAGUUAUUGCAGUUUUUGAGAGUUAGCUGAUAGCAGGCAAAUUCACUUACAAUUUAAUAUCAAUUUUGAAGGUCCGACUGGAUGAUACAAAUUGGUCAUUUCCUGUUCAAAUUGUUAAGGAGGACACAGUUCCUCUUGUCUUGAGGAGAAAUGAUGGCACUCGGAGAUUUUUGAAGAUGGAAGUCCGUGGCUUUGAAGAGGGGUCACGUUUCAUUGUUGUUUUUCGCGUUGGAUCAACAAGGGGUCCAAUCAGGUACCUGAUUAAUCUAUGUUUAGUUACAGGGCUCUGCUACUUCAAGCUUCUGAUUAAUUCAAAUCUUGUCUCAUUAAUCAACUAUAUAUGCUUGAUAGGAUCGAAAACAGGACGAAGAGGAAGGUCAUUAGACUUCGGCAAUCUGGAUUUGGCAAUGAUGCAUGGAUCCAGCUAUUGCCUCUUUCAACCACAAACUUUUCAUGGGAGAAUCCCUAUGGCCAAAAACUUAUUGAUGCUGAGAUUUACAGUGGCAAUAGCUCUAGGGUCUGGAAAUUUGAUUUGGAGAAGUCAGGGUUCUGUUCUGAGUGUGAUGAAUUAGGCUUGCUUUUCCAUGUUAUAGAUAUGGCUGAUGUCAGGGUUGCUAGGUUUAUCGAUGAGGGAGCAGCAUUAUUAAGUUCAAAAGAAGGGAGCACGUCUCUUGCAGAAGUUGGAAAUCUUGGCAGUUCUCACAUACAGAACCAGAUGCAGGAGAAUGGAUCUCAUUUAGAAGUUACAGUUGAGUUGGGUGCAAUUGGGGUUUCUGUUGUGGACCAUAGACCCAGAGAGGUAUUAUAUUUGUAUCUAGACAGAGUAUUCAUAUCCUACGCUACCGGAUAUGGUGGUGGAACUACUAGCAAGUUUAAGCUUAUAUUGGGGUACUUGCAGCUUGACAAUCAACUUCCCCUCACAUUGAUGCCUGUACUUCUGGCACCUGAACAAAACAUUGAUAUGCAUCAUCCAGUCCUCAAGAUGACUUUUACAGUGCGCAAUGAGAACAUUGAUGGUGUUCAGGUAUACCCAUAUGUUAAUGUAAGGGUAACAGAUAAAUGCUGGAGGCUUAACAUUCAUGAGCCGAUAAUUUGGGCUUUUGUAGAUUUCUAUAACAAUCUUCAACUGGAUCGCCUACCAAACAGUUCUAGUGUCAGCCAGGUUGAUCCUGAAAUACGUGUGGACUUGAUUGAUAUAUCUGAACUAAGACUGAAGUUAUCAUUAGAGAGUGCACCUGCUCAAAGACCAGAUGGGGUUCUAGGCGUAUGGGGACCAGUACUGUCGGCUGUUGGAAAUGCCUUCAAAUUACAGAUCCAUUUAAGAAAAGUGAUCCGCAGAGACAGAUUUAUGAGAAAAAGCUCGGUCAUUUCUGCAGUGGGAAACCGUAUUUUUAGAGAUUUAAUUCAUAACCCUCUGCAUUUAAUAUUUUCAGUGGAUGUGCUGGGUAUGACAAGCUCAACUUUAGCCUCUCUCAGCAAAGGCUUUGCUCAACUAUCAACAGAUGGACAGUUUUUGCAGCUGCGUUCAAAGCAGAUAUGGUCAAGAAGAAUAACCGGAGUUGGUGAAGGGAUCAGGCAAGGGACUGAAGCCCUGGCACAAGGUGUUGCAUUCGGAGUUUCUGGGGUAGUGACAAGGCCUGUGGAGAGUGCUAGACAACAUGGCCUUCUUGGCUUUGCCCAUGGGCUUGGACGAGCUAUGGUGGGAUUCGUUGUUCAACCAGUGAGUGGAGCAUUGGACUUCUUUUCAUUGACUGUCGACGGGAUUGGUGCAAGUUGUUCUCGUUGCAUUGAAAUCCUUAGCAACAAGACCACCUUCCAUAGGAUAAGAAAUCCCCGUGCUAUUCAUGCAGACAAUAUACUUAGAGAUUACAGUGAGCGAGAAGCACAGGGUCAAGUGAUACUACACCUUGCUGAAGAGAGCCGUCAUUUUGGUUGCACUGAACUUUUUAAAGAGCCUUCUAAAUUUGCCUUGUCUGAUUAUUAUGAAAAUCAUUUUAUGGUUCCCUAUUCGCGGAUUGUUUUAGUGACUAAUAAACGUGUAAUGCUUCUCCAGUGUUUGUCUGCUGAUAAGAUGGACAAGAAGCCCUGCAAAAUCAUGUGGGAUGUACCUUGGGAAGAACUCAUGGCACUUGAAUUAGCUAAAGCUGGCUACCCUAGACCUUCUCACUUAAUCAUCCAUGUAAAAAAAUUCCGAAGGUCUCAGAAGUUUGUCCGGGUAAUAAAGUGCAACACUGAAGAUGAAACUGAGGUGCCUCAAGCUGUAAGAAUUUGUUCAGUUGUGCGUAAGAUAUGGAAAGCAUAUCAAACUGACGUGGCAUGUCUACAACUAAAGGUUCCUUCAAGCCAGAGACAUGUAUCCUUUGCAUCACAUGAUAAUGAUGGAAGAGAUUCAUUUAGCCAGAAAAAGCCUAUAAUUGAAUCAAGGGGGCUGGCUUCCUGGGGUGCUGUCUCCGAUAGAAGGAAAUUUGUUCAACAUGCUAUCACAUUUUCUAAGGUAUGGAGCAGUGAACGAGAGUUGAAAGGUCGUUGUACAUUGUGCCGGAAGAAUGUUUCAGAAGAUGAUGGGAUCUGUAGUAUCUGGCGCCCUUCCGGUUUACCCCAUGGGUACAUCUCAAUUGGGGAUAUUACUCAUGUUGGUUGUCAUCCUCCUAAUGUUUCAGCUGUAUAUCGUUAUUCUGACAAAUUAUUUGCCCUCCCAGUCGGCUAUGACCUGGUGUGGAGGAACUGCUUAGAUGAUUACACGAAUCCCAUAUCAAUUUGGCAUCCUCGUGCUCCUGAAGGCUUUGUCUCUCCUGGAUGUGUAGCUGUACCUGAUUUUGCUGAGCCGGAACCAAAUGCUGUAUACUGUGUUGCAGAAACAUUGAUCGAGGAGACAGUAUUUGAAGAACAAAAGAUCUGGGAAGCACCAGAUUCAUAUCCCUGGGCAUGUCAUAUCUACCAGGUGCGCAGUGAUGCACUUCAUUUUGUUGCUCUCAGGCAACCAAGGGAAGAAUCUGAUUGGAAGCCAAUGAGAGUUAUCGAUGACCCACAGCUUCACAUUGACGCGUAGUAAGCUUGUUUCCUUGUAUUCCAGUGUCUAAUAACCCAGUAAACAAAGCAGCUUUCUUGAUUUUGCUUUCCCCGUUGGAGAAAUACUGGUUUGUGGCGCUACUUCCUUCUUAAUUGAAAAGUAGUCUCGAGUAGUUUGUACAGUCCAAACUGUGUAUUGAUGUACAUAGUUGUACCAUUGGGAUCACAACGACAUGUUAUGGAUCUUCCUCAGAGGCUCCUUUUCCCUAAUUUUUGGUACUGAUCAUUUUACAGCAAUCAAAAGCUCCUUUAAGCUUUAUAGUUAUUAGUUAUCGAUGUUGCAGUCUUCAUUUUUCAUUUAUUUCCUAUGUUUACUGAAAUCUAUGAUGGCUAAAGGUAGUUUAUAAGGUAUUUAUUUUGCCUUAUACGCACUUUAGCACUAUUUCAAAAUUUAUGAACGGGAUCUACGCUAGAAAGGCUGCAAGAUCUGUGCUAUAUAUUUUUCAUGUCAUCUUAUUUGUUGAAUAAACUUUAGACAGGAAAAGGUACUCAAAAUCAUUAAAAUCGUAA